Molecule: long non-coding RNA, 1453 nt
Organism: Nyctereutes procyonoides (raccoon dog)
Lineage: Eukaryota; Metazoa; Chordata; Mammalia; Carnivora; Canidae
Exons: 2
Source: RefSeq, a predicted model, not a curated record
UGCCGUCGCGUUUCUUCUCCAGCCGGGACACGUUUCAGGAGGAAUGUCAAGUGACUGUGGGGAGGGGAGUGACCUCUUCCACCUGUUGCUUUGCACAUUGCACUCUUUGGUCAGAGGGUUAGAAAUGUCACUGGUUGCAGGGAUGCAAUUGUCACCUCUGGCGAGGUUUCAUCUGCAGGCGCCCACACAGCUGGAACUGAGAGCGGCCUGGUGAACCCGCAGGGCGGUGGGGGGGGGCGACCCCUUGAACGUGCUGACAGCUGAGGGAUCCAUUUGGAGAAGCCCUGGACUGGGUAGGUCCUGCCCCCCUGGGGUCCAGCCCAGUCGUGGAAGGGAUGUCGCCCUGUGCCCAGGGACAGCUUGGAGGCUGAGGACUCCUGCACCCCUCCCCAUAGCCCCUUUGCAGUGCCUGCCCCUUCUCUGCAGGUCCCCGGGUGCAGAAGUGCUAUGAGAAGUGGGCGAAGUGAAACCACCACCCAGGCCCCGGGGAGAGGAACCUGCAACCACCUCCUACCCACAGCCAUGUCCACGCGGCUCUGCAGCAGCUCACACCCGAGUGCUGCCUGUGGUAAAGAGGCUGCCCCUCAAGGUCGUCGGGAUCCGGGGAAGGGCAGGGGCCGCUUUAGGACCCCGUCAUGUCACAAAUGCCAAGACCGAGUGCUACCGGCCAGAGUGAUGAUUCACAAGGUUUCAGAAGCCCCUGGUGACCACGGGGCCAACAGGCAGAGGCCAUCUCUGGUUCCGUCCUAGGUUCAGGCCCCCACGACCUGGAGGACUGCCAAGCCACCUGUGCCCAGGUCCUCUUCCCUAAAACUGGGCCACUGCAGCGGUGCAUGCAGGACGCGCAGCUGUCAAGAGCCACAGAACUCACACAGGACUGGACAGUCACAGCCUCCCGUUGGAAGACGGCAGCAUGAGCUCACCAAUUGAGCGGCCGCGCAGCCAACGCGGUCUACUUGGUUUUUCUCGUGAGCCUAAAACAAUGGCUGGGGUCACGUCCCAGUGAGCAUUUCUCCAGUUAAAGCCAACAGGAGGCCACAGCGGGAAGGAGCUGGGCAUCCGGCAUCCGGAGCAACACUCGGGGACUUCCCGCACGCACUGUCCUCCAACAGCAGAGGAGACGCGGAAGGUGCAAGACCUGGACCUGCCGGAGUCACAAAGGCGAGGAGGGACUUUGCGGAGGGACGCUGCCCCCCCCUCCAGGUGACAGCAGCCAAGGGGCUGGGUGCCUUCCACGGGCUCCGUCACGGACUCAGCGGUGCCAGCAGCCCCAGCACAACUCAGCAGGUGGACACUGUGGGGAAGGGCAGGAUGCUCGCCCAGGGGGCCACCCGCCCCACCCCAUGGUCCACGCCGGAGGGUGUGGGGAGGGACAAGGCUGUGGCCCAAGGUCAGGUCAGCAUCAAGCUUCACCGGUCACGUGUCUUCAUCAAAAAACGUCUACCAGGUGCCA